Heterocephalus glaber (naked mole-rat) is the source of this 4272-nucleotide long non-coding RNA. The record is from Ensembl. Lineage: Eukaryota; Metazoa; Chordata; Mammalia; Rodentia; Bathyergidae.
GUUUCCUCAUCAGUGAAAUGGUAGUGAGAAAUAUUGCACAUAGGGUUGUUAUGAACAUUAAAUAUGUCUGAAAUCCCUUAUCACGGUGGCUUGACUAGAGGAGAUAUUCAACACAUCAGAGUUGGUCAUAGUUACAGAAUAGCCUCAAAAGCUAUAUUUGCAAAAACAUUGCCUUUACACACAGCAAUUACAACCCCCUUAAACUUGGUUGGGGGAAUCUGUACCACUGAUUUUUGAUCAUAACUUGAUGGCUUACAGGUGAUUCCUUUUUGGAUUUAUUCUGUUUGGGAAAAUGAAAAGAGAACAAAUGAAGGUCAGAGGUAGGGACUAGUACUAUGCCAGCAAAUGGUUUCCUGUUUUGGUAACUGCUAAAAAGCAGUGUUCCUUGGAAAUCUAGCUUCUCUGAUAGAAUGGAAGCCUUAAAUUCUAACUUCAUUAGAAUAACAAAAUCAUCACUUCUGGUUCUCCAAAAUGUAUGAAGAAUCUCACCCAUACCAGAAUGAUUGGAUUUCAUAAUCUCUGACUUUUGUGCUUAGUUCAUAAAUGGUGAAUUGUAUUUCUUCAUGCUGCCCAAAAUAACAGACACAAAAAAUGUAUUGAGAUCUUACCAUGUACCAAAUACGAAACAAGAUGAUCUCUCAUAACUGAGUUUAUUAAGUCACUUAUUUCUUAGAAAGUAAUUAUUAUUCCCAUAUAAUGGAUGAGAAAACUGAAGCUCAGGAAUGAUGAGUACUUUGUCCAGGUCAUCUAGUAAGUAGUCAAGCUUGAUUUUGAAUGCUUUACUUUGCAGAUUUAAAAAAUUUUAAAUCUUUAUUGUGUUACACAUAAUUUUAUUUAACAGACACAGCAGUCAAAUCACAAAAGCACCCCAGAAGCUCCAAAUGGGAAGAUUCAGAUGAAGUAAAAUUCACUUAUCCAGCACAUCGCUACUAAGUCAAAAAAGAAAAUUUGAUUUCUUAAUAAUAUUUCAUGUCAUAGAAUGCCCCUUGCUAAGGGAGCACUCAACUCCAGCACAUGUAGGUCCUGGUUAGGCAGAAUUGCACUUUACUCCCAGUAGCCUAGAUAUGCAGUUGGGUUGUUUUACAGUAAGCUUAUGUAAUGGCAGGAGGCAGGCUAAACCUUGGCUGUCUUUGGGUUGUACUUGAACAGAAUCAUCGAUUGGACUUGACCAUUUUUACCACUUCUAAAUUGGUUUUGUUGCCCAGCUCAGAAAUAAAGGAAGAAUGUAUAGAGAAAAGACAUAAAUCUAAAAUCUACCCUAGAAAAACAUAUCUUCCCCCUUGAUAGAUAGUGUCACUUGUUGGGUUGGUUUUCCUGUCCAUUGUGACUGACUAGGUCUUUUUUUAGUAGGUUAUUUUCUGUAUGUAUGUGUACGUGUGUGUACACAUAUAUACCCGCAUACAUGUACCAGGUUGCAAGCAGACGUCAUGCCUUUCUGCUUUGUACCGCACUACUGCUGCUAGCUAAUAACCAGCAAAAUGUAGAAAAUGAAAAAUGAAGAAAUUAAUUUUCUGCAGACAACUUGGAAACAAGAGCGCAUACCCCUGACUUAGUGGGGCAUAAAACUGACUAUUUCAACAGCUAGCCUUUUCUGAAGGCUAACUGCUUCUAGCCCAGUGCUGCCUCUGCAGCAGGGUCAAGUGAAGUCAUUGCGCAUCUGGCACUUCCAGCUCUGCUGGUGAAGCUAGCCUGGGCUCAGAUAAUCCCCUGUGAUGGCUGUGGGAGCAGCAGAGCUCUGAGGCCAGUUCACAGCAACCAGAGGUCUCUUACUAUCAACAGAUUGCAUACUGUUGAUGGACUGCAAUCCACUGGGGACUGUGUUGCCCCUGCCAACUCCAUUUCCAACAGGAGUAUUUUAUUCAGGGACUCCUUCCUCAAGUUCCCAACCUGUUGACUUUGCAUCCAUUUCUACUCACCUCAUAGCAGAAGUAUAUGACAAAUAUUUCAAGAUUAAAGACAAUUCUGAAAAGCAGCCAGCUUCAGGGGCUCCACUUUGUCCCAUUUCUAAGUGCAGAGAGAAGGAAGGUAAAGGAGCCAUGUAAAAUGUAGGCAUUCAAUCCAUUUUAGAGUGAACUCCACUUAUCACAGUUUCACUUUAAUAAUCUGGAUUGGGCGCAUCCAGAUGUGAGAUGAGAUUUUCACUUACAAGUGGGUUUUUUCAAACAUGUUAAUUUAACCUCCAGAGAGAAGUGCCUGUAAUCUUUGUUCCUGGUGUUACUUUAAAGCUUUGCUAUUCAUGACUCUGUAGCUGUUUAAAAAACUUUCCACAGCAAAUGUGAUUAACUGUUUACAAAGCAACACUGUAGCUUAUGCAUCACUUUAAAAGUUGAUUAACCAUCUAUUGUUAAAGCAAUGACAAUAAACAACAAUGAAAUAAAAAGAGAGCAAGUAGCUUAACAUGGCACCAUCAGCUUAUCUUAAGUAAACUAGUUUUGUCAUUGUAUGCAGUUCUCAGUAAUGCCAGGAUUAAAAUGUCAAGCAAGCUACUUAAACAGUGGCAGCUGUGGAUGUGUGCUUGUUUUCCAUUUGUUUGUCAAGCAGUCAUUUUACUCUUGCACUGUAAUGAAGGGAAAUUAAGAUAUUGCUCCCCUAUAUUGCUAUUCAACUACCUCUAUAUGCUUGAUUUCUUUUUAGGGGUUCCCUUCUUCCAAGUCUGUAUAAAAAAGUUUCAGCUCAUCUACAUUGUAAUAGCAAUGUAAUAUAGACAGUUUUUGUGAAAGUUGUUUGUUCAUUAAAAAAAAGUUUCCUAUUGUCUCACUUUGUAUAUAACAAAACUGUACUCAUACCUUAGGAAAAGAAUUACCUAAUUCAUUAUUACUUUGUUGGAAGCUAAAUAGAAAGGAAAGCUAAAGGAAUAUCUAUUUUGUUCUUGUUCCUAUUGGUUAUAAUACAUUGAUCAGAAGAUCUGUUUAGAAUCUAGGAAUGUAGCUUAGUGGUAGAGGAUUUGCAUAGCAUGUGCAAGGACCUGGGUUCCAUCCCCAGCACUGCAAAAAAAAGUCCUUUAUGGAAAUAGACCUGCACUCAGACAGCAAAUUCAUAUAUGUAGAGGUGAGGCGGGUGUGAAUGGAUUAAUAUGACUGAUGUGUUCUGAAACACUGGUCAUAAAUUAGGGUUUUUUUGUUUAAAAGCACCAGAAAAGUUUGCUUUGUAAAAAUUCUGUUGAUUUGUUCAGUAAUGUGCCCCUAGUUUAUUUGUAAAUCCAAACACCCCUAUAUAAUGUUUUCUUAAGCAUUAUAAAACGUUUAAAAAGCCAAGUGGGUGUUUUUAUUUUAAUUAACUAUUUUAUCAACAAUAGCCUAAAGCUAAGGCCCAAAGCAUGUACAUGUUUUUGCACUGCUGGGGAUUAAGCCUGGGGCCUUGUGCAUGCUAGACUAGCAAGCUACUGGCCCCAUCCCACCAUGACCCUUUUUGAUAGAAAAAUGUGUAAAAUUGAUUGGGACAAUGAGUGAUACUGACUGAGCAAGAAAGCUUUAGCAAUAUCUCAUGUUCUUUACAGUACAGAUUUUUGUGCUGUGCCAUUGAUGGUUUUAUACAUGUUCUAUUUUUAACAUAUAUAAAAGUAGAGGGAAAAAAGACAUGGGAAUGAGUUAAUUAAAAAUGAAAUGAUAGGCUACAUACAGUGUCACACUCCUGUAAUCUUAGCUAUUUGUAAGCCGAGGAAAGAGGAUGCCUGGUUCACACAUUUAUUAUUUUUUGUCUAAAAUGUAUAUAAUGUGUCAUGUGCUGGUCUUCAGAUUUCAUUCUCUAGUGAAGAUCUGUAUGUACACAUCAAAGUAAUAAAACCUUUUGCUUUUCUUUUCAAAAAAAUGAAAAUAGAGCUUUUGCAAAUGGGAAAGAGAUCAACAGUUGGAAGGAGCAAGGAGGGAUGGGAGGGGUAGGGGAUGAAAAAAGAAUUAAGAUGUGUUAUGUACAUGUACUAACUGCCCACGAUGAAUGUAAUCAUUAUGUACUAACAUGUACGUGUACUAAUAAAAAAGGUACUAGUGAAAGAAGAGAGAGAAAGAAAAAAAAAAGAAGAAAGAAAGAAAGUAAAUAAAUUCUUCUUGGAGCUGAUCUUGAUCUGUGUAACAGAAUCUUUGGGGUAAUUAAGAAGAAUUAGAAUUCCUGCUCAGCCAGCCCCCAGAGGGAACACUUGGCUUGGCUGAAUGUUGCUCACUUGUGCCCACUACCACUUUCUGGUUCUCAUGAGAUAGAGUACACUUAAGCCAAAGUCACAAGCUCCUUCCCAGACAGUCUUCCAACCAGAAUGUGGGCAUAGCUUUCUGUCUGAAG